ACCAAGAAACCCAAUCAGUUCAGACCCAUCUGUUGCUUAACAACAACAUAUAAACAGUUGACAGGAAUUAUAGCCGAUGCAAUUUACAAACAUCUCUGGUGGCUACAUGGAAAAUGAACAAAGGCUGCAUAAGGAAAAGAUUAGGA
This is a long non-coding RNA of Thalassophryne amazonica, 146 nucleotides long. RefSeq lists it as uncharacterized. The transcript has 3 exons. The record is from RefSeq and is a predicted model, not a curated record. Lineage: Eukaryota; Metazoa; Chordata; Actinopteri; Batrachoidiformes; Batrachoididae.